GGCUCGAUGGUCUAGUGGUAUGAUACUCGCUUUGGGUGUGAGUGGUCCCGGGUUCAAAUCCCGGUCGUGCCC
Phthorimaea operculella (potato tuberworm) is the source of this 72-nucleotide non-coding RNA. The record is from the annotation of a GenBank genome assembly. Lineage: Eukaryota; Metazoa; Arthropoda; Insecta; Lepidoptera; Gelechiidae.